CGACAAUCAAGCAACGCUUGGUGUUGGGCGCCAGGCCCGCCCCCCGCGGCGGGCCCGCCCGAAAUGCAUCGGCGAGGAGACCGACCCCCGGCGUACUAAGGACCCCCAAAAGUUCGCACGUCGGGAGCACCGGUGGCCUCCGCCGCGACCCUCUUUUUUAAAUCAGAA
RNAcentral lists this unclassified non-coding RNA (168 nucleotides) under uncultured Myriangiaceae. RNAcentral's name for it is "sequence contains ITS2". Lineage: Eukaryota; Fungi; Ascomycota; Dothideomycetes; Myriangiales; Myriangiaceae. The record is from RNAcentral.